AGAGUUUGAUCAUGGCUCAGGAUGAACGCUAGCGGCAGGCUUAAUACAUGCAAGUCGUGGGGCAGCAGCUUUGUAGCAAUACAGAGGCUGGCGACCGGCAAACGGGUGCGGAACACGUACGCAACCUACCCAUAACUGGGGAAUAGCCCCGGGGAAACCCGGAUUAAUACCCCGUAACAUAUUGAUAAGGCAUCUUAUUAAUAUUAUAGCUCCGGCGGUUAUGGAUGGGCGUGCGCCUGAUUAGGUAGUUGGCGGGGUAACGGCCCACCAAGCCUACGAUCAGUAACUGGUGUGAGAGCACGACCAGUCACACGGGCACUGAGACACGGGCCCGACUCCUACGGGAGGCAGCAGUAAGGAAUAUUGGUCAAUGGACGCAAGUCUGAACCAGCCAUGCCGCGUGGAGGAUGAAGGUCCUCUGGAUUGUAAACUUCUUUUAUCUGGGAAGAAACCCAUGAAUUCUUUUGUGGUUGACGGUACCAGAUGAAUAAGCACCGGCUAACUCCGUGCCAGCAGCCGCGGUAAUACGGAGGGUGCAAGCGUUAUCCGGAUUUACUGGGUUUAAAGGGUGCGUAGGCGGAAUGGUAAGUCCGUGGUGAAAUCCCCGAGCUUAACUUGGGAACUGCCAUGGAUACUAUCAAUCUUGAAUAUCAUGGAGGUAAGCGGAAUAUGUCAUGUAGCGGUGAAAUGCUUAGAUAUGACAUAGAACACCAAUUGCGAAGGCAGCUUACUACGCGAUUAUUGACGCUGAGGCACGAAAGCGUGGGGAUCGAACAGGAUUAGAUACCCUAGUAGUCC
This 798-nucleotide ribosomal RNA is filed under the name uncultured bacterium. Its description in RNAcentral is "bacterial SSU rRNA". It matches the Rfam family "Bacterial small subunit ribosomal RNA", at positions 8 to 796 of the family's 1533-position model. The record is from RNAcentral.